Solanum dulcamara is the source of this 755-nucleotide long non-coding RNA. RefSeq lists it as uncharacterized. The record is from RefSeq and is a predicted model, not a curated record. Lineage: Eukaryota; Viridiplantae; Streptophyta; Magnoliopsida; Solanales; Solanaceae. The transcript is spliced from 4 exons.
CAGAUAUCAAUUCAAGAUUUGCUUCCAAAGGACCAAUACAUAAAUUACUUAAUAACAUAACAAUGAGUUUUGACAGUCUUCUGACAUUGACCAGCGAAGAGAUCUCUCUGAUAUAUCCACUGUUUUUGUUGAACCUAUACUGCCCAAGAUCUUUAUAUGAUUUGACUUUGGAGCCUUCAAAGACCUCUAUGGUAUAAGGUUCCGUGUAUUUUAAGGGUUAAUCUAACUGAUGUGGAUCUGAUAGAAUUUUUUUAACAGCAAGAACCGGAGGAGAUGAAGCCGAAGGCUGCCAAUGGAAUUCUGGAAGAUUGUGCUUUUAUACGCUUUUUUUUUCCUUUAUACGUUAUCUUUAGACAAACUACUGUUAUUCACUUCUUAUAUUAGUUUUCCAUUUCAAUUUCCCCUUACAGCAACAACAAAGAUGAAGACAAAUGUAUAGUUGCUUAUACUUCAAGCCACUCUAUUUGAUCAUUGCUAUGUGGAAUUCAUUCAGCGCCAAGUUUUAAGAUUUGCUUGUUGCAUGAAUUGCCUAAUUCACUGCUGAUUUCAGAAUUGAAUAUGAUAUUUGAAAAAUAAAAGAAUUUUGAUACAUUUUCCUUCUUAAGCAACAGGAGAACCGUCUUAGUCGUGCAAGCUUGAGUUUUUAUCCAACAAUUAGUUGAAUUUAUAGUUACGUGAUUUUUCUUUAAGAAUUAUUUUUGCAUGUUUGAGUUAUACAAUUCCUGAAUUUCUAUAAUUUAUUUUUUACAUUUUAA